This 46-nucleotide non-coding RNA is filed under the name Schistosoma mattheei. Lineage: Eukaryota; Metazoa; Platyhelminthes; Trematoda; Strigeidida; Schistosomatidae. The record is from RNAcentral.
UCAUUGUUGAGGAGUCCCAUAAUAGGACGAAACGGCUGUCCAGUGC